UGCCAAGAAAAGCCUCUAGCGAGCGCAUACAUGGCCCGUACCCCAAACCAACACAGGUGGUCAGGUAGAGAAUACCAAGGCGUACGAGAUAACUAUGGUUAAGGAACUCGGCAAAAUGCCCCCGUAACUUCGGGAGAAGGGGGGCCGGCUUACCGUGAACAGCCUUGCGCUGGGAGCGGGAACCGGCCGCAGAAACCAGUGGGAAGCGACUGUUUACUAAAAACACAGGUCCGUGCGAAGUCGCAAGACGAUGUAUACGGACUGACGCCUGCCCGGUGCUGGAAGGUUAAGAGGACCCGUUAACUCGUAAGGGUGAAGCGGAGAAUUUAAGCCCCAGUAAACGGCGGUGGUAACUAUAACCAUCCUAAGGUAGCGAAAUUCCUUGUCGGGUAAGUUCCGACCUGCACGAAUGGCGUAACGACUUCCCAACUGUCUCAACCAUAGACUCGGCGAAAUUGCACUACGAGUAAAGAUGCUCGUUACGCGCGGCAGGACGAAAAGACCCCGGGACCUUCACUACAACUUGGUAUUGGUGUUCGGUACUGUUUGUGUAGGAUAGGUGGGAGACUGUGAAACUCUAACGCCAGUUAGAGCGGAGUCGUUGUUGAAAUACCACUCUGACCGUAUUGGACACCUAACUUCGAACCCUUAUCGGGUUCAGGGACAGUGCCUGGCGGGUAGUUUAACUGGGGCGGUUGCCUCCUAAAAUGUAACGGAGGCGCCCAAAGGUUCCCUCAACCUGGACGGCAAUCAGGGUGACGA
Molecule: ribosomal RNA, 762 nt
Filed under: uncultured Mycobacterium sp.
Lineage: Bacteria; Bacillati; Actinomycetota; Actinomycetes; Mycobacteriales; Mycobacteriaceae
Description: bacterial LSU rRNA
Rfam family: Bacterial large subunit ribosomal RNA
Source: RNAcentral